Molecule: ribosomal RNA, 602 nt
Filed under: [Lecythophora] canina
Lineage: Eukaryota; Fungi; Ascomycota; Sordariomycetes; Coniochaetales; Coniochaetaceae
Description: eukaryotic LSU rRNA
Rfam family: Eukaryotic large subunit ribosomal RNA
Source: RNAcentral
GCAUAUCAAUAAGCGGAGGAAAAGAAACCAACAGGGAUUGCCCUAGUAACGGCGAGUGAAGCGGCAACAGCUCAAAUUUGAAAUCUGGCUUCGGCCCGAGUUGUAAUUUGUAGAGGAUGCUUUUGGCGAGGUGCCUUCUGAGUUCCCUGGAACGGGACGCCAUAGAGGGUGAGAGCCCCGUAUAGUCGGACACCUAGCCUCUGUAAAGCUCCUUCGACGAGUCGAGUAGUUUGGGAAUGCUGCUCAAAAUGGGAGGUAUAUCUCUUCUAAAGCUAAAUAUAGGCCAGAGACCGAUAGCGCACAAGUAGAGUGAUCGAAAGAUGAAAAGCACUUUGAAAAGAGGGUUAAAUAGCACGUGAAAUUGUUGAAAGGGAAGCGCUUGUGACCAGACUUGUGCCGGGCUGAUCAUCCAGUGUUCUCACUGGUGCACUCGACCCGGCUCAGGCCAGCGUCGGUUGUCGCGGGGGGAUAAAAGCGGCGGGAACGUGGCUCCUCCGGGAGUGUUAUAGCCCGCCGCUCAAUGCCCUCGCGGCGACCGAGGUUCGCGCUCUGCAAGGACGCUGGCAUAAUGGUCAUCAGCGACCCGUCUUGAAACACGGACC